ACUGCGGAGGAUCAUUAAUGAGGU
RNAcentral lists this ribosomal RNA (24 nucleotides) under Cladonia cervicornis. RNAcentral describes it as "partial 18S ribosomal RNA". The record is from RNAcentral. Lineage: Eukaryota; Fungi; Ascomycota; Lecanoromycetes; Lecanorales; Cladoniaceae.